Molecule: ribosomal RNA, 758 nt
Filed under: uncultured bacterium
Lineage: Bacteria
Description: bacterial SSU rRNA
Rfam family: Bacterial small subunit ribosomal RNA
Source: RNAcentral
GCAGUCGACGCGAAAGUCCUUCGGGAUGAGUAAAGUGGCGCACGGGUGAGUAAUACAUGAGAACAUGCCCUCAAAUGGGGAAUAACGUUUGGAAACGAACGCUAAUACCGCAUAAUCUCGCAAGAGUAAAGGUGGCGCCGUAAGGGCUACCGUUUGAGGAUUGGCUCAUGUCCCAUUAGCUAGUUGGCGGGGUAAUGGCCCACCAAGGCAACGAUGGGUAUGUGGUCUGAGAGGAUGAUCACACACACUGGAACUGAGACACGGUCCAGACUCCUACGGGAGGCAGCAGUAGGGAAUAUUGCACAAUGGAGGAAACUCUGAUGCAGCAACGCCGCGUGAGUGAAGAAGGCCCUUGGGUCGUAAAGCUCUUUAGCGAGGGAAGAAGCUGUGCACGGUGAACAAUCAUGCAUGGUGACGGUACCUCGAGAAUAAGCACCGGCUAAUUUCGUGCCAGCAGCCGCGGUAAUACGAAAGGUGCAAGCGUUACUCGGAAUCACUGGGCGUAAAGCGCGCGUAGGCGGACUCGUAGGUCAGUUGUGAAAUACCUGGGCUCAACCCAGGAACUGCAGCUGAAACCGCUUGUCUUGAAUACUUGAGAGGGUGGGGGAAUACCUGGUGGAGAAGUGAAAUUCGUAGAGAUCAGGUGGAACACCGGAGGCGAAGGCGCCUGCCUGGCAUGUAUUGACGCUGAGGCGCGAAGUGCGGGGAGCAACAGGAUAGAUACCUGGUAGUCGCACGUAACGAUGAUACUAGCGUUC